This 494-nucleotide ribosomal RNA is filed under the name uncultured bacterium. RNAcentral's name for it is "partial 16S ribosomal RNA". It matches the Rfam family "Bacterial small subunit ribosomal RNA", at positions 28 to 507 of the family's 1533-position model. The record is from RNAcentral.
GACGAACGCUGGCGGCGUGCUUAACACAUGCAAGUCGAGCGGAAGGGCCUGCUUUCCCUUGUGGUGUGCGGGUACGCGAGUGGCGAACGGGCGAGUAACACGUGAGUGACUUGCCCCCAACUUGGGUAUAAGCCUGGGAAACUGGGUCGAAUUCCAGAUAGGACUGCAGGGUGCUGCCGGGGGUGGAAAACGAUUUUCUAGUGGUUGGGGAUGAGCACGCGGCGUCUCUGCUUGUUGGGGGGGUAAUGGCCUACCAAGGCGGUGACGGGUAGCCGGCCUGGGAGGGUGGACCGCCCCACUGAGACUGUGUUCCGGCCCGGACUCCUACGGGAUGCAGCUGUGGGGACUAUUGCGCACUGGGCGGCAGCCUGCUGCAGCGACGCCGCGUGGGGGAUGACGGCCUUCGGGUUGUACACUCCUUUCGACCGCGAGGACGCCACCUGGUUGGGAGGGUGGUGACGGUAGUGGUAGAAGAAGCACCGGCUAACUACGUG